Non-coding RNA from Physcomitrium patens, 1083 nucleotides. NCBI's taxonomy places the organism in Eukaryota, Viridiplantae, Streptophyta, Bryopsida, Funariales, Funariaceae. The record is from RefSeq and is a predicted model, not a curated record.
GCCUCUGCUGCGGGAAAGAGAUUCCAUCUCAGCCUUUCAGAAAUGCUGUCCACGCUUCCGUUGCAGAAUGUGAGCACAUAUUCGUCCUCGCAGUUAUCUCAUCUUCUUUGACCCGCUGCUCGCCGUGCUUAUCUUGCAGGCAGGGGAGGCAGGGUAUGGGGAGGGGGCCUGCACCGACCUCCCUCUCAGGUUUCAGUGAUGCUAGUUCGUCUCCGUGAGCUUUGCAAGUGAGAGGUAGACUGAAGAGAAGGUGGUAAGAUCAAACAACAUCGUGGAUUAUGCCUCCACGGUAUCAUAUCUACCUGGAUCUAUGAAGCGAAUCAGAACCUGCCUUGAGAACGUCAAGUUUGAAUCUGGCAACGCCUCGCCGCACCUCGGUUGUCAACGUGAGCCUUACUUCGUCGGUCAUCCAGCCUGGGGGGGAUAUUCUUCCACCAGAUCCCGUGCCUUCGUUUUCGUUUGUAAUCAUAAGAUUGGUGCUAGUGUCGAAUGUGUCGAUGUCUGUCGAUUUUGCAAGCUGCAGUUUCGAUCACAUCCCUCGGGCUCUGAGCCUGUUGACAGAAGGCAUAUUGUGGGGGUUUUUUUUUUUUUCUUUUUUUUUGUUUUUUGUUUUUGUUUUUGUGUGUGUGUGUGUGUGUUGGAGUUGUGGAGUGUGACCUUCCAGGUUGUGUCAUGGAAGAGGCGGUGGAGUGCGCAGUAUGGAGCGGAUGUGUAGGGUUCGGAGAGUGACACUGAGCGUCGCCAUUGCCGAAGGCUGUUACUAGGGAACUUUUUGGGCAACACCAACACAUCUCCCCACAUGUCAAAGGCCCUUGAUCGUUAAACUUGAAGACCCAGAGCAACGAGCUUCCACAACCCCACUCUGGAUCACUGAAAACCGGCACCACAACCAUUACUCCUCUAGGAAAGCAACCACAUUGCAUUGUAUUUCAUCUUCACAAACCUCCUUCGACAUAAGUUUCAGAACGGUGAAUUGCUGCCACAAGAAGUAAUUAGAUAUAAAUCAUGUUCAAUGAACCAUCAUUGUCCAAAUCACCCACUUGGAAGAACAUGAAAUACUGUGACAAAUACUGAACGACAAUU